This 433-nucleotide ribosomal RNA is filed under the name uncultured Lachnospiraceae bacterium. Its description in RNAcentral is "partial 16S ribosomal RNA". It matches the Rfam family "Bacterial small subunit ribosomal RNA", at positions 341 to 792 of the family's 1533-position model. The record is from RNAcentral. Lineage: Bacteria; Bacillati; Bacillota; Clostridia; Lachnospirales; Lachnospiraceae.
ACGGAAGGCAGCAGUGGGGAAUAUUGCACAAUGGGGGAAACCCUGAUGUAGCAACGCCGCGUGAGUGAAGAAGUAUUUCGGUAUGUAAAGCUCUAUCAGCAGGGAAGAUAAUGACGGUACCUGACUAAGAAGCACUGGCUAAAUACGUGCCAGCAGCCGCGGUAAUACGUAUGGUGCAAGCGUUAUCCGGAUUUACUGGGUGUAAAGGGUGCGUAGGUGGCAUGGUAAGUCAGAUGUGAAAUACCGGGGCUCAACCCCGGGGAUGCAUUUGAAACUGCCAGGCUGGAGUACAGGAGAGGCAAGCGGAAUUCCUAGUGUAGCGGGAAAUGCGUAGAUAUUAGGAGGAACACCAGUGGCGAAGGCGGCUUGCUGGACUGUUACUGACACUGAGGCACGAAAGCGUGGGGAGCAAACAGGAUUAGAUACCCUGGUA